AGCAAAGACAGCGUUUAUAAGGCAAGCGGAGUCUGAGGCAGUGGAGCCGUCCUGUCAACCCAAGGAAGUGAUGGAGCCCAGUGACCCUGAUAAAGCAACCUGGUUAGAGUAACACACGGGGAGAAGGAGAUUUGGAGACACAGACACCCAGGGAAGAAGGCCAUGUGGAGACACAGGCAGAGACUGGAGUUAUGAUGCCACAAGCCAAGGAGCACCAAGAAUUGCCAUCAACUACCAGAAGCUAGAAGAGGCAAGAAAGGAUUCUUUCCUAGAGCCUUUAGAGGAAAUAUGGCCUGUGAACCCUUUGAUGUUGGACUUCUAGC
RNAcentral lists this long non-coding RNA (323 nucleotides) under Equus caballus (horse). RNAcentral describes it as "lncRNA (ENSECAG00000058087.1)". The record is from RNAcentral. Lineage: Eukaryota; Metazoa; Chordata; Mammalia; Perissodactyla; Equidae.